This 400-nucleotide ribosomal RNA is filed under the name uncultured bacterium. Its description in RNAcentral is "bacterial SSU rRNA". It matches the Rfam family "Bacterial small subunit ribosomal RNA", at positions 356 to 773 of the family's 1533-position model. The record is from RNAcentral.
GGGGAAUAUUGGACAAUGGGGGAAACCCUGAUCCAGCGACGCCGCGUGAGUGAAGAAGUGUUUCGGCAUGUAAAGCUCUAUCAGCAGGGAAGAAAAUGACGGUACCUGACUAAGAAGCCCCGGCUAACUACGUGCCAGCAGCCGCGGUAAUACGUAGGGGGCAAGCGUUAUCCGGAUUUACUGGGUGUAAAGGGAGCGUAGACGGUUCUGCAAGUCUGGAGUGAAAGCCCGGGGCUCAACCCCGGGACUGCUUUGGAAACUGUGGAACUAGAGUGCAGGAGAGGUAAGUGGAAUUCCUAGAGUAGCGGUGAAAUGCGUAGAUAUUAGGAGGAACACCAGUGGCGAAGGCGGCUUACUGGACUGUAACUGACGCUGAGGCGCGAAAGCAUGGGUAGCAAAC